Long non-coding RNA from Lepidothrix coronata (blue-crowned manakin), 745 nucleotides. RefSeq lists it as uncharacterized. Lineage: Eukaryota; Metazoa; Chordata; Aves; Passeriformes; Pipridae. The record is from RefSeq and is a predicted model, not a curated record. The transcript has 3 exons.
UUUACUACUUAAGUUCUCUCUGUUCCCCAGUGAUAGGCCUUAUAAAUGCUGUGGAAACAGAAACUAUCACCACAUGCAGCAGUGGGAAAAAAAAAAAGAGGAAAAAGCCCUGAGAAACUCAUUUCCUCAACUGGGUGUCAGAAGUUUCAGUAUCAGGCUUGAGUUAGUCGAUCUCCAAGUUAUGUUUCUCCCCUGGGAAUGGACUUUAACUGCAUGUAUUUGGCAAAAUCUCCUCUUAAAGCUGAAAUAAUUUGCAGCUGCUGGUUCUUUCACUCACACUAUAUGGGUAGGAACUCCUGCUACCAUAAACCCUCCAGAUUUUGGACAUAGUAACAGCAUCAGAAAGCAUGGAUUACAAGCAGUUCUCAAAGUCAUCAUUUGGAUGCUUGAGCUGAUCUGUAAAAAUCCCGGUCUGUGUAGAGGCAAACCACACAAGUUGCUCUCUGAAAAUCAAAGGGGCCUAUGUUUGCUUAAAGCACAGGCUGUCGCUGAUUAAAGAUGGGCUUGGCAACUGGAGCAAUGGGACUUGAGGAGGCAAUUCCCUGCUGUGGCAGAAACCCGGAGCCAAAAACCUAGGAGGUCUCUUCCAGAGCUGCCUUGCUUGCAACCAGCUCCUGUUUCUCUCUCGUCUGGGUUCAGCUGGACUGAAGAAGACAUGAACUUCCGUUUUUUGGUGCACAGCAAACCAGGCUAACCUUCGGUUAGAGCACAGCUCUCACUCACAACUAUUAACAAUAAAUAUCAA